GACGAACGCUGGCGGCGUGCUUAACACAUGCAAGUCGAACGGAAAGGCCCUGCUUUUGUGCGUUGCUCGAGUGGCGAACGGGUGAGUAACACGUGAGUAACCUGCCCUUGACUUUGGGAUAACUUCAGGAAACUGGGGCUCAUACCGGAUAGGAGCUCCUGCUGCAUGGUGGGGGUUGGAAAGUUUCGGUGGUUGGGGAUGGACUCGCGGCUUAUCAGCUUGUUGGUGGGGUAGUGGCUUACCAAGGCUUUGACGGGUAGCCGGCCUGAGAGGGUGACCGGCCACAUUGGGACUGCGAUACGGCCCAGACGCGUACGGGAGGCAGCAGUGGGAAGUAUUGCGCAGUGGGGGGGAGCCAGAUGCAGAAACGCCGCGUGCGUGAUAACGGGCUUCGGGGUGUAAACCACUUUCGCCGGAGACGAAGCGUGAGUGACGGUAAUGGGUAAAGAAGCACCGGCUAACUACGUG
Molecule: ribosomal RNA, 468 nt
Filed under: uncultured bacterium
Lineage: Bacteria
Description: partial 16S ribosomal RNA
Rfam family: Bacterial small subunit ribosomal RNA
Source: RNAcentral